AUACAGAGGGUGCGAGCGUUAAUCGGAAUUACUGGGCGUAAAGCGCGCGUAGGCGGUUCGGCAAGUCGGGUGUGAAAUCCCCGGGCUCAACCUGGGAAUUGCAUCCGAAACUGCCGGGCUAGAGUGUGGUAGAGGGAAGCGGAAUUCCGCAUGUAGCGGUGAAAUGCGUAGAUAUGCGGAGGAACACCAGUGGCGAAGGCGGCUUCCUGGACCAACACUGACGCUGAGGUGCGAAAGCGUGGGGAGCAAACAGGGUUAGAAACCCUAGUAGUCC
Molecule: ribosomal RNA, 274 nt
Filed under: uncultured bacterium
Lineage: Bacteria
Description: partial 16S ribosomal RNA
Rfam family: Bacterial small subunit ribosomal RNA
Source: RNAcentral